AUGCUGUAAACCUUGGGAGUUAAUGCUGUAAACCCUGGAGUGAAGAGUAGCCCUCCUCUGUCAGAGUUAGUCUCUUCAUUCAGAGUUGUGUAGUGGCAUCUUGCUCUGCCAGUGGACUUGGGGUGGUGGCCACACCUUAGGGUGUGGUUUCAUCGAAUGUGGACGUGACCUUAUAAGGAAGAGCAGGGGUUGACUGGUGGUGUGCUCUUGGGUUGUGGUGGAUGCAUCCUGAAGGGCAGAGGCUGCAUCUCCAGGAGCAGGAAGACCACGUGGUUAUUCACCAUCAUUGUAUCAAGAUACAGAACUCUUAGUUCAUUCUCCAGGACCAAGUCUGCCUGAAGGCCACCAUGUUCCACUAUGAUGAUAAUGGACUAAACCUUUGAACUUGCCCACAUUGUCCUCAGGGACCCAGUCCCACAUUCUAAGCUUGUGCCUUCCAUCUCCAAAUUCAUCUCACAGUUGGCAGGAUGGCUCAGUAGGUAAGGACACUUGCUGCCACGAUUGAUGCCCUGAAUUAGUGCCUUGGAGUUCGUAUGGUAGAAGAAGAGAGCGGACUUCCACAAGUUGUCACCUGUGCACCACGGCAAUGCCUUCCCCAGAUUCAUCUCAAGCUCCAAGACAGCCACUGAAGUGCUAGUCUUCACAGACUCACUCCGAGGAGCAGGGAGGAAAUGUGAGGUGAUGGCAAAAAGGGACAUUUCAUUGUCCAAACUUAAUAAGCUUUUAUCUAAUAGCAAAGAAGCCAGGGAAGAUUGUCUUUGGGCUGAAUAUGUGGGUGACCUGAAUAAAACGAGGCUCCUCUUA
Molecule: long non-coding RNA, 804 nt
Organism: Mesocricetus auratus (golden hamster)
Lineage: Eukaryota; Metazoa; Chordata; Mammalia; Rodentia; Cricetidae
Exons: 3
Source: RefSeq, a predicted model, not a curated record